Molecule: ribosomal RNA, 309 nt
Filed under: uncultured bacterium
Lineage: Bacteria
Description: bacterial SSU rRNA
Rfam family: Bacterial small subunit ribosomal RNA
Source: RNAcentral
GACGAACGCUGGCGGCGUGCCUAAUACAUGCAAGUAGAACGCUGAAGGAGGAGCUUGCUUCUCCGGAUGAGUUGCGAACGGGUGAGUAACGCGUAGGUAACCUACCUAUAACUGGGGGAUAGCCCGAAGAAAUUCGGAUUAAUACCCUAUAAUAUUUAGUCAUCGCAUGAUGAUUAUCUUAAAACUCCGGUGGUUAUAGAUGGGCAUGCGGCCUAUUAGUUUGUUGGUGAGGUAAUGGCUCACCAAGACUACGAUAGGUAGGGGGUCUGAGAGGAUGAUCCCCCACACUGGUACUGAGACACGGACCAG